UCUAUACUUGCUGUUGACUCCAGGUUGAAGAUUCAUCAAGAUGUUUCCUUUGUGGUUGAUUACUGUUGCUAUUGUGGUUGCUUCCAUGUUGCCAAGCUUUGCUGCGACGGGAGUAUGUAACGUGACCGAGUGUAGGAAUAGAAGAGGAAAGUGUAUCGUAUUUACAUGUAAGACCGAUGGUAACGAUUGUGGAAGUAAAGGAUGUGAUGCACUAAACGAAGUUUGUGUUAAUGAUAUUUGUGUAAACAGAAGUGAAACUUGUGGUCACAUAGAUGGCAUAUUAAAUCUGUGUCCUUAUCAGGGUGUAAAAUGUGGGAAAGGAUUCUGUCCUGGUAAUUUUGGUUUAGAUAGUAAAUGUGUAAAAAAAAAGUGCAGGACUAAAUUUCGCUGUGUUGGGCAGAGUGAUGACACUCCCUGCAUGUCACUGAGUAUUAGUGGCACUUGUUCGGGUGGUGUUUGUCUCGAAAAUUGUGAUGAAGACAGUGAAUGCCGUGGUUUUGCAUGUGUUGGUGGAUUCUGUGCAG
Molecule: long non-coding RNA, 524 nt
Organism: Patella vulgata (common limpet)
Lineage: Eukaryota; Metazoa; Mollusca; Gastropoda; Patellidae
Exons: 7
Source: RefSeq, a predicted model, not a curated record